RNAcentral lists this ribosomal RNA (225 nucleotides) under uncultured bacterium. Its description in RNAcentral is "partial 16S ribosomal RNA". It matches the Rfam family "Bacterial small subunit ribosomal RNA", at positions 15 to 231 of the family's 1533-position model. The record is from RNAcentral.
CAUCAUGGCUCAGGAUGAACGCUAGCUACAGGCUUAACACAUGCAAGUCGAGGGGCAGCAUGGUCUUAGCUUGCUAAGGCCGAUGGCGACCGGCGCACGGGUGAGUAACACGUAUCCAACCUGCCGUCUACUCCUGGACAGCCUUCUGAAAGGAAGAUUAAUACAAGAUGGCAUCAUGAGUCCACAUGUUCACAUGAUUAAAGGUAUUCCGGUAGACGAUGGGGA